GGAUCCAGACUUUGAUCCUGGCUCAGGACGAACGCUGGCGGCGUGCCUAAUACAUGCAAGUCGAACGAAGCUUUCUUUCACCGAAUGCUUGCAUUCACCGAAAGAAGCUUAGUGGCGAACGGGUGAGUAACACGUAGGCAACCUGCCCAAAAGAGGGGGAUAACACUUGGAAACAGGUGCUAAUACCGCAUAACCAUGAACACCGCAUGAUGUUCAUGUAAAAGACGGCUUUUGCUGUCACUUUUGGAUGGGCCUGCGGCGUAUUAACUUGUUGGUGGGGUAACGGCCUACCAAGGUGAUGAUACGUAGCCGAACUGAGAGGUUGAUCGGCCACAUUGGGACUGAGACACGGCCCAAACUCCUACGGGAGGCAGCAGUAGGGAAUCUUCCACAAUGGACGAAAGUCUGAUGGAGCAACGCCGCGUGAAUGAAGAAGGCCUUCGGGUCGUAAAAUUCUGUUGUCAGAGAAGAACGUGCGUGAGAGUAACUGUUCACGUAUUGACGGUAUCUGACCAGAAAGCCACGGCUAACUACGUGCCAGCAGCCGCGGUAAUACGUAGGUGGCGAGCGUUGUCCGGAUUUAUUGGGCGUAAAGGGAACGCAGGCGGUCUUUUAAGUCUGAUGUGAAAGCCUUCGGCUUAACCGAAGUAGUGCAUUGGAAACUGGAAGACUUGAGUGCAGAAGAGGAGAGUGGAACUCCAUGUGUAGCGGUGAAAUGCGUAGAUAUAUGGAAGAACACCAGUGGCGAAAGCGGCUCUCUGGUCUGUAACUGACGCUGAGGUUCGAAAGCGUGGGUAGCAAACAGGGUUAGAUACCCUGGUAGUCCACGCCGUAAACGAUGAGUGCUAAGUGUUGGAGGGUUUCCGCCCUUCAGUGCUGCAGGUAACGCAUUAAGCACUCCGCCUGGGGAGUACGGUCGCA
Molecule: ribosomal RNA, 921 nt
Filed under: uncultured bacterium
Lineage: Bacteria
Description: bacterial SSU rRNA
Rfam family: Bacterial small subunit ribosomal RNA
Source: RNAcentral